This 1026-nucleotide transfer RNA is filed under the name Kluyveromyces marxianus. RNAcentral's name for it is "tRNA-Gln". Lineage: Eukaryota; Fungi; Ascomycota; Saccharomycetes; Saccharomycetales; Saccharomycetaceae. The record is from RNAcentral.
UUAGUUGUUAGCCUUUAGUAUUUGGGCAACAGUAUCGGUUAUAGCUUGUCCGAAGGAAAUAAAUUCGAACCCUAAGAGUUUUUUGGUCUUUGAAUUAUCAUAGUGAGCUAUAUGCUUCACAAUUUCUUUGCCUUCUCCUGGGACACCAGUUGCAAUUUUACCUCUGAGUUCGGGGAAGUGUUUAUUGAUGUAGUCUGCCACAUCUUGUAGAGCAUAAACAUCAUUCAACAAUACCAAUCUCUUCGAUUUAAGUUCAGGCUUCUCUAACGCUAACACAUGUGCCCUUGCAACAUCUCUUACAUCAACAAAUGCACCUGCGAAGUUCUUGUCCAACUCAUCACCUGGCUUAGAGUGCAAUAUCUUAUUUACAAUCUCGGUUGAGAAGUUUAAAGUGCCUUUAGCAUUUUCCUCGAAAGCUUGUGGCCCAAAGAUAUAGCUUGGACAUAUUGUAGUCAACUGGAAUUUUACUUGAUCCUUGUUUUCCUUCCAAAAGUCCCACGCUGUUCUUUCAGCAAAAGUCUUUGAAACAUAGUAAGCUGAGAAAACGUCCUUCUUACCAUCUUCAAAGCUGUCUGGGUUCCAAGACUCUUCCGUCAACGUCAAAUUAGAGUCAAGAAUACCUGCUGGAUUAGCCAAUGCCGAAACAGAAGAGGUAUACACUACUGUUUCUACAGUUUCCGAUGCAUACUUCUUAAUUGACUCUAAAACACGUUUAGUACCAUUAAUGGCUGGAAGUAGCAUCUCAUUCUCAUACUCGGUGGUGUCGAAACGACAUGGUGACGCUGUGUGAAUGACGUGUUUGAUCUGCCCGGUGUACUUCAAAAACAAAUCGUCAAAAACAUCUGCCUGCAACAAAUCUGGGACCAAUUCCAAAGUAAGGUUAUCAUUUUGGAAUAGCUUGGCGAUGUCCUCAGCUUUCUGCUGAUUCCUCACCGUCCCAAUGACUUUAUAGUUCCUUUCUAAAAGUUGCUUGAUCACGUGCUGUGCAAGAUACCCAGAUGCACCAGUAACCACAACGUACGUCAU